UGGUGGCCUUGCACAUGGCCGCGCGCGCGGUCGCCUCGGGCGAGUGCGAGAUGGCGCUCGCGGGCGCCGCGUCGUUCAGCGUCGACGGGCUGCCCG
RNAcentral lists this transfer RNA (96 nucleotides) under Burkholderia glumae. RNAcentral's name for it is "tRNA-Arg". Lineage: Bacteria; Pseudomonadati; Pseudomonadota; Betaproteobacteria; Burkholderiales; Burkholderiaceae. The record is from RNAcentral.